CUUCCCUGGGCCGGGUGCGGUGGGCGUUCCGAAGGGCCAGUCCCCCAGGCCACGCCCAGAACCGCGCCCCGGGGGUUGGGACCCCCAGGGCGAAGGUGGGUGACCUGCAUGGCUGGUGCCACCCUCUCCUUUCACGCAGCUGACCCUGGAGCAGCCGCAGGGGGAUUCUAUGAUGACCUGCGAGCAGGCCCAGCUCUUGGCCAACCUGGCGCGGCUCAUCCAGGCCAAGAAGGCGCUGGACCUGGGCACCUUCACGGGCUACUCCGCCCUGGCCCUGGCCCUGGCGCUGCCCGCGGACGGGCGCGUGGUGACCUGCGAGGUGGACGCGCAGCCCCCGGAGCUGGGACGGCCCCUAUGGAGGCAGGUGAGCGCCCGCGCCUAGCUCUGCAGCCCCAGGCGGGGGCGCAACGGCUGACCCGCUCCCUCCGCAGGCCGAGGCGGAGCACAAGAUCGACCUCCGGCUGAAGCCCGCCUUGGAGACCCUGGACGAGCUGCUGGCGGCGGGCGAGGCCGGCACCUUCGACGUGGCCGUGGUGGAUGCGGACAAGGAGAACUGCUCCGCCUACUACGAGCGCUGCCUGCAGCUGCUGCGACCCGGAGGCAUCCUCGCCGUCCUCAGAGUCCUGUGGCGCGGGAAGGUGCUGCAACCUCCGAAAGGGGACGUGGCGGCCGAGUGUGUGCGAAACCUAAACGAACGCAUCCGGCGGGACGUCAGGGUCUACAUCAGCCUCCUGCCCCUGGGCGAUGGCCUCACCUUGGCCUUCAAGAUCUAGGGCUGGCCCCUAGUGAGUGGGCUCGAGGGGGGCUUGCCUGGGAACCCCAGGAAUUGACCCUGAGUUUUAAAUUCGAAAAUAAAGUGGGG
RNAcentral lists this small RNA (862 nucleotides) under Pan troglodytes (chimpanzee). Its description in RNAcentral is "processed transcript". The record is from RNAcentral. Lineage: Eukaryota; Metazoa; Chordata; Mammalia; Primates; Hominidae.